CUCAGUUCGGAUUGGAGUCUGCAACCCGACUCCAUGAAGCUGGAUUCGCUAGUAAUCGCGCAUCAGCCACGGCGCGGUGAAUACGUUCCCGGGCCUUGUACACACCGCCCGUCAAGCCAUGGGAGCCGGGGGUACCUGAAGUGCGUGACCGCAAGGAGCGCCCUAAGGUAAAACCGGUGACUGGGGCUAAGUCGUAACAAGGUAGC
This 206-nucleotide ribosomal RNA is filed under the name uncultured bacterium. RNAcentral describes it as "partial 16S ribosomal RNA". It matches the Rfam family "Bacterial small subunit ribosomal RNA", at positions 1287 to 1500 of the family's 1533-position model. The record is from RNAcentral.